RNAcentral lists this ribosomal RNA (116 nucleotides) under Escherichia coli. Its description in RNAcentral is "partial 23S ribosomal RNA". It matches the Rfam family "Bacterial large subunit ribosomal RNA", at positions 1 to 106 of the family's 2925-position model. The record is from RNAcentral. Lineage: Bacteria; Pseudomonadati; Pseudomonadota; Gammaproteobacteria; Enterobacterales; Enterobacteriaceae.
GGGUUGUGAGGUUAAGCGACUAAGCGUACACGGUGGAUGCCCUGGCAGUCAGAGGCGAUGAAGGACGUGCUAAUCUGCGAUAAGCGUCGGUAAGGUGAUAUGAACCGUAAUAACCG